RNAcentral lists this ribosomal RNA (451 nucleotides) under uncultured bacterium. RNAcentral describes it as "bacterial SSU rRNA". It matches the Rfam family "Bacterial small subunit ribosomal RNA", at positions 199 to 671 of the family's 1533-position model. The record is from RNAcentral.
UAUCAAAGCGUUAGCGGUAUAGGAUGGACCCGCGUCUGAUUAGCUAGUUGGUGAGAUAACUGCCCACCAAGGCGACGAUCAGUAGCCGACCUGAGAGGGUGAUCGGCCACAUUGGAACUGAGACACGGUCCAAACUCCUACGGGAGGCAGCAGUGGGGAAUAUUGCACAAUGGGCGAAAGCCUGAUGCAGCAACGCCGCGUGAACGAUGAAGGUCUUCGGAUCGUAAAGUUCUGUUGCAGGGGAAGAUAAUGACGGUACCCUGUGAGGAAGCCCCGGCUAACUACGUGCCAGCAGCCGCGGUAAUACGUAGGGGGCUAGCGUUAUCCGGAUUUACUGGGCGUAAAGGGUGCGUAGGUGGUCCAUCAAGUCGGUGGUUAAAGGCUACGGCUCAACCGUAGUAAGCCUCCGAAACUGUUGGACUUGAGUGCAGGAGAGGAAAGUGGAAUUCCC